RNAcentral lists this ribosomal RNA (253 nucleotides) under uncultured bacterium. RNAcentral's name for it is "partial 16S ribosomal RNA". It matches the Rfam family "Bacterial small subunit ribosomal RNA", at positions 524 to 776 of the family's 1533-position model. The record is from RNAcentral.
UACGUAGGGAGCAAGCGUUGUCCGGAAUCAUUGGGCGUAAAGCGCGCGUAGGCGGCCCUGUAAGUCCGUUGUGAAAGUCAAAGGCUCAACCUUUGAAAGCCGAUGGAUACUGCAGGGCUAGAGUCCGGAAGAGGCGAGUGGAAUUCCUGGUGUAGCGGUGGAAUGCGCAGAUAUCGUAAGGAAGACCAGUGGCGAAGGCGGGUCUCUGGACAGUUCCUGACGCUGAGGCACGAAGGUCAGGGGAGCAAACGGG